RNAcentral lists this ribosomal RNA (253 nucleotides) under uncultured bacterium. RNAcentral describes it as "partial 16S ribosomal RNA". It matches the Rfam family "Bacterial small subunit ribosomal RNA", at positions 524 to 776 of the family's 1533-position model. The record is from RNAcentral.
GACAGAGGGUGCAAACGUUGUUCGGAAUUACUGGGCGUAAAGCGCGUGUAGGCUGCUCUGCAAGUCGGAUGUGAAAGCCCUGGGCUCAACCUAGGAAGUGCACUCGAAACUGCAGAGCUUGAGUCUCGGAGAGGAUCGCGGAAUUCUCGGUGUAGAGGUGAAAUUCGUAGAUAUCGAGAGGAACACCGGUGGCGAAGGCAGCCCCCUGGGCUGACACUGACGCUCAGGCACGAAAGCGUGGGGAGCAAACAGG